UAAAAGCCAUGACCUUGUACCUAUCCUACCCUGUUCAGAGUAUGUGAGGAUUGAUUUCAUCUCUACGUUUCUAUCUAAGUUUGGGGUUGCUGUUGGAAUAACAACCUUUAAGUUUGGGGUAGCUUUGCAGUACGUGAAUAGUAAGUGAAUGUAGUAUAAAAGAAAGAAAAAAAAAUAAACGAAAAAAAAAGAAGAGAAAAAGAAAAAAAAAAGAAAACAACAACAACAACAACAUGAAAAGAAAGAAAGAGAAAAGCGAGAAAUAAUAAAAGAACAGCUUUUGAAAGAUGCUACAUUCACUAUAUAUAAAAGGAAAAGAGGAUUGCAUAACCCUACAGGAAUAAUAGAAAAGAAACGUAGUGAGAGAAUGAUUUUAUGUACUCUGAACCCAAAAACCUUUGUUCAAAUUUCAUACCCUACCUAAACCAAAACCCCGUUACAACCCAAAAGAAAAAAAAAACCCUUGUUCCAAUUUCAUACCCUACCUAAACCAAAGCCCCGUUACAACCCUAAAAGACCUCAAAAAGUGUGUGUG
This 535-nucleotide long non-coding RNA is filed under the name Lathyrus oleraceus (garden pea). RNAcentral's name for it is "Pisum sativum (pea) long non-coding RNA (PSAT_LNC039952)". The record is from RNAcentral. Lineage: Eukaryota; Viridiplantae; Streptophyta; Magnoliopsida; Fabales; Fabaceae.